UUUAUGGAGAGUUUGAUCCUGGCUCAGGAUGAACGCUGGCGGCGUGCCUAAUACAUGCAAGUCGAGCGAACGGACGAGAAGCUUGCUUCUCUGAUGUUAGCGGCGGACGGGUGAGUAACACGUGGAUAACCUACCUAUAAGACUGGGAUAACUUCGGGAAACCGGAGCUAAUACCGGAUAAUAUUUUGAACCGCAUGGUUCAAAAGUGAAAGACGGUCUUGCUGUCACUUAUAGAUGGAUCCGCGCUGCAUUAGCUAGUUGGUAAGGUAACGGCUUACCAAGGCAACGAUGCAUAGCCGACCUGAGAGGGUGAUCGGCCACACUGGAACUGAGACACGGUCCAGACU
Molecule: ribosomal RNA, 347 nt
Filed under: Staphylococcus aureus
Lineage: Bacteria; Bacillati; Bacillota; Bacilli; Caryophanales; Staphylococcaceae
Description: bacterial SSU rRNA
Rfam family: Bacterial small subunit ribosomal RNA
Source: RNAcentral